GGGGAAUAUUGCACAAUGGGCGCAAGCCUGAUGCAGCAACGCCGCGUGAAUGAUGAAGGCCUUCGGGUCGUAAAGUUCUGUCCAAAGGGAAGAAUACAGUGACGGUACCUUUGGAGGAAGCCCCGGCUAACUACGUGCCAGCAGCCGCGGUAAUACGUAGGGGGCAAGCGUUAUCCGGAAUCACUGGGCGUAAAGGGAGCGUAGGCGGUUUGACAAGCCAGAGGUGAAAGGCAAUAGCUUAACUAUUGUAAGCCUUUGGAACUGUCGAACUUGAGUGCAGGAGAGGAAAGUGGAAUUCCUAGUGUAGCGGUGAAAUGCGUAGAUAUUAGGAGGAACACCAGUGGCGAAGGCGACUUUCUGGACUGUAACUGACGCUGAGGCUCGAAAGCGUGGGGAGCGAAC
This 402-nucleotide ribosomal RNA is filed under the name uncultured bacterium. RNAcentral's name for it is "bacterial SSU rRNA". It matches the Rfam family "Bacterial small subunit ribosomal RNA", at positions 356 to 773 of the family's 1533-position model. The record is from RNAcentral.